This 220-nucleotide long non-coding RNA is filed under the name Mytilus galloprovincialis (Mediterranean mussel). Lineage: Eukaryota; Metazoa; Mollusca; Bivalvia; Mytilida; Mytilidae. The record is from RNAcentral.
AGGUCUGGCAAGACGAUACAAACCGCCGGCAUUUUUAAUAUUGGCAAGUAGGUGUUCUUCUGGUAACAGAAGUAACAAAAGUUCCUCUAAGGAAAAAUAGAGUGGACGAGGAGCACGACCCCACACUGACGCUAGGCCAUAACUUGAAUAACGCUUCCACGGUACUCGGAGGAUAAAAUUCAAAACUGGUAACAGUGAUGAACCGGCCGCUCUGGUAAAC